RNAcentral lists this ribosomal RNA (492 nucleotides) under uncultured bacterium. RNAcentral describes it as "partial 16S ribosomal RNA". It matches the Rfam family "Bacterial small subunit ribosomal RNA", at positions 29 to 507 of the family's 1533-position model. The record is from RNAcentral.
AGUGAACGCUGGCGGUAGGCCUAACACAUGCAAGUCGAACGGUAGCACACUGAGAGCUUCUUCUUACGGGUGGCGAGUUGCGUACGGGUGAGGAACACAUCCGAAUCUACGUUAUCGCUGGUGAUAACGUUGGGUAACACACCCUACUACCUCUUACGACAUACGGGUGAAAGCAGGGGCUCUUCGGAUCUUGCGCGAUUGAAUGAGCCGAUGUCGGAUUAGCUAGUUGGCGGGGUAAAGGCCCACCAAGGCGACGAUCCGUAGCUGGUCUGAGAGGAUGAUCAGCCACACUGGAACUGAGACACGGUCCAGACUCCUACGGGAGGCAGCAGUGGGGAAUAUUGGACAAUGGGCGCAAGCCUGAUCCAGCAAUACCGCGUGGGUGAAGAAGGCCUUCGGGUUGUAAAGCGCUUUUGUUGGGAAAGAAAAGCAGCAGGUUAAUACCCCGCUGUAAUGACGGUACCGAAAGAAUAAGCACCGGCUAACUUCGUG